RNAcentral lists this long non-coding RNA (3720 nucleotides) under Homo sapiens (human). Its description in RNAcentral is "HSALNT0196584". Lineage: Eukaryota; Metazoa; Chordata; Mammalia; Primates; Hominidae. The record is from RNAcentral.
GAAUCUCUUGUGCAAUAGACUCCCCUGGGGAAGUCUGCUAGAAAUGCAGAUCCCUGGGCAGCCUUCUAGCCUUCUGGAAUAGGAUCAUGGUGGGACCCUGGAAUCUGUAUUUUAAUGGACCCUAAUGAGAUUCUGAUGUAGAAACAUGUUUGAGAGGCAUUGAUCUAAAUCUGGGAUGACUGGCCAGGUGCGGUGGCUCACACCUGUAAUCCAGCACUUUGGGAGGCCGAAGCAGGUGGAUCAUUUGAGGUCAGGAGUUCAAGACCAGCCUGGCCAACAUGGUGAAAACCUGUCUCUACUAAAAAUACAAAAAAAAUUAGCUGGGUGUGGUGGCACACGCUUGUAAUCCCAGCUACUCAGGAGGCUGAGGCAGGAGAAUCGCUUGAACCCGGGAGAUGGAGGUUGCAGUGAGCCAAGAUCGUGCCACUGCACUCCAGCCUGGGUGACAGAGUGAGACUCCGUCUCAAAAAAAUAAAACUAAAAUAAAUAAAUAAAUAAAUACAUCUGGGAUGACUGACCAAGAACAAAGAAUGUAGGCAUCAACUGAACACCAACUGUAUACCUGGGACUGGAUCUGAGGGUAGGAUUGCCAGAUUGAGCACAAACAAACAAACGAAACACAAGAAACAACAGAAGGGUGCCUGUUAAAUAUGAAUUUCUGGUAAGCAAUAAGUAAUUUUUAUUGUGUUCCUGUGCAAUGAUAGGACGCACGUAUCCUGAAAACCUGUCUGUAGUUCACCUGAAAUUCACAUUUAACUAGGCGUUCUGAUUUUAUGUGGCCGCCCUAUCUGCUGGGAACAUAGGCUGAUGCCCCUGGGGGUUCUGCGUUUCCUUGGCCAGGUUCCUGUAGGGCUGAGGUCAUGGGGGAGCCGUGGCCAGGGAUGGUGUCCUUGCCAGGGGAGGUGACGGGCAGAGCUGCAGGCCCUACAACUUGGGGUUGGGCAGGGAUGAGUCGCUCUACCGUGGUGCCUCUGAUAAUAGCUGUUAUUUUAGUUUCUGAAAAAUGUGCUGCCCUCAAGAGCUUCUGAGGCUAGGCCUACUUGGGUGAAAAUAGCUUUCCAGGGAGCCACAUUGUGGGGACGUGAGGCAGCAGCCCCACUCUUUGGGGCCACUUGGCUGUCUCUAACUCAUCUCACUUGCCAGGGCUGGACAAGGAGAUGAAAAAGAAAAUGCCAAGGGGUGGGCAGGCAGGAGCCUGUUGGCGUUGGCAGGCGCUGCCAGCCCUGUGUCCCAGUCAAGCUCUGGGGCGCCCUUCCUGUCCAUCUGGGAGUAGGGGGUGGAGUCUGACCAUGUUGGGGUGGAGUGUUAAUAUUAGGAGAGGAUCCUCCCUGGGACAGGGUCCCCAGGCUUGGGGGCAAGGCCUUCUGCCUGGACCCCCUUCCUUUCCUCUCUCCCAGGAUUCCUCCAGGACACCGUAGUGCUGUGCACGGUUUGGCCCCAUCGGUGUGCCUGCUCCUUCCAGCCACUGCUCCCUUCUGCAGAAACUUGCCUGGGAUUCCCAGGGUGCAGGGGUGGGGGCUGGUCAGGGGCUGGUCAGGGCCUGGUCAGUGUAGAGCAGGGAGCUUUUCACUUUUAGCAUAGAUAGAGUGGCCAGGGCCCCAUGGCUGCACCUCCCUGGACAUAACCAGGAUGUCCUGUCAUCUGCCCCCCAAACAAAACUGGGGUCUCCCCUUUAUUUUGCCAACAGAAUCCAAUUUUUAGGUGAUGAGACAAGUGUUUGACUUGAAAAGACCCUCCUGCCCUGCCUCCUGGAAGGUCUGGAGCCCAGCCCAGCGCCCCGGAUCCCCUAGGCAUGUGAAACGGGGAAUGCAGUGUCCUCCAGUGGCUGGCUGCAGCUUGGGGUGGGCACCUGGGUGGUGGCUGGUGGUCCCCCUGCAGGCCACUGCUGCCCCCUCUUGGGUCCUGUUCUGAGUCUCAGGCCUGAGUCCCUGGGGAAGGCCCCACACCUUUGCCCUGUACCUGGGUAUGGGGAUGGCCCUGAGGGGCUGCCUUGCUUGGGAGAAGGGGGGAAAACAGAUAUUUUUAUAUAAAUAAGAAAAAGACAGCCCCUCUGGGCAGAUGAGGCCUGCUGUAGGGCAGGGGGCUUGGUAAACUGUGUGUCCACUGGUCUGUAACCCUUCAGCUGGGUCCUUUUGUGCAGUGAACAGCCUGGACAACUGUCCAGGUGGCCCUUCAGGGAUAUGUUCCUGGACCUUUCUUAGCUUCUCACCGAUCUUUCUUCCACGCCAAGUCCAUGUUCCUCAGUCAAACAAGUGGCAAAGAGGAGGAGGAGGAGGGGAAGGAGGAGGAACCUGCUUCACCCUCUGGCACCUGCGGGUUUUGUUCCACGUGUCUUCCUUGGGAAAGACAAGGGGUUCUUUUACAGCCUAGGGGUGGUUUCCCCUUUCUACUUCUGAGUGAGACCUUCUCAAGUCACGGCUCUUUGGGCCCACAUGGCUAAGGUCUAGCCACCUGUGGGUGUCCUGUGCUGCCUCAGUGGGUGGUGUGGGGGCGGGGCUGACCUCCCCCGCGCCUGGCUCAGUGCAGCAGACCCUGGCCCCUGUGCCCGCUCUCUGCCCUGAGCAGGAGUUUGAUUUUCCUACCCCGUGGUGAAGCAAGCACAGGUGGGCGGAGGUGGGCAGCGGUUUCCAGCCCCAGCCACCGGGGCAGGGAGGCCUCUGUUGCUCAGGGCAAGGGAGGCAGGGGGCUUAGUGGGACGAAGGCUCACCCCACACUCUUAUCAUUAGCAUUAUCUGUAUUUUUAAUUUUUAAGUUGAGAAAUUUUCUACAACUGUCAAACUAGACAAAUGACAGUAUCCAGUUCCCCUCACCCAGACGCAGCCAUUGCUGACAGCUGUCAGUGUUGAAGAUGGCCAGCAUCUCAUGCCCUUGGUUUCACUCGUUCCCUGGGUGGCCCUCGUCCCCCUCCCCACGUCCUGCGCCCCGCAUACCCUGAGCAGCCAUGGCCAGGAACUUGGCACGUGGGUUUGUUUUUUCUGAAUCUGCAUGUGCGCAGCCAUGAGCAUGAGGUCACUUUUUGAAUGUGACCGAAGCUGCAUCCUGCUGCGUGUAUUGCUGUGUGGCUGGCUUUCCUCCCUGUCUUCUGUUCAGGAAUACUGUUCAGGCUGAAUACCGUCCUGUGACAUGGGUUUAAAAACACAGGCCAGGCAUGGUGUCUCACGCCUGGAAUCCCAGCGCUUUGGGAGGCUGAGGUGAGAGGAUCGCCUGAGCCCAGGAGUUCGAGACCAGCCUGGGCAACAUAGACCUGAUCUCUACAAAAAAUUAAAAAAUGAGCCGGGCGUGGUGGUGGCACGUGUCAUUGUCCCGGCCACUUGGGAGGCCGAGGUGGGAGGAUCACUUGAGCCCAGGAGUUCAAGGCCGUGGUGAGCCAUGAUGGCACCACCGUACUCCAGCCUGGGCGACAGAGAGAGACCGUCUCUAAAAAAUAAAAAAUAAAUCAACACAUAAACAUACGUUCUCCUCCUGAGGGACAGAGCUUGCCCCGGUUGUUCCAUGUUGACUGUGCUGCACACAGGCCGCCCCCCUUGCUCUGCCCCUCACUGUAUUAAGUCUCUUUGGGCCUCAGUUUCUCCAUCUCUAAAGGAGGUCGGGGAGGCCAGGCGGGUGUUGAGUGAGAUGAAGAGGCCCUUGGAGUCAUUCCAGGAGUCUAUAGGUGACUCCAGUCUCUUCUCACUUCUGACAGCCUGGUGGCGGGGGUGGAGUCUCUGCUGGGGAUGUGGG